Molecule: ribosomal RNA, 484 nt
Filed under: uncultured bacterium
Lineage: Bacteria
Description: partial 16S ribosomal RNA
Rfam family: Bacterial small subunit ribosomal RNA
Source: RNAcentral
AUUGAACGCUGGCGGCAGGCCUAACACAUGCAAGUCGAGCGGAUGCAGGGAGCUUGCUCCUGGAUUCAGCGGCGGACGGGUGAGUAAUGCCUAGGAAUCUGCCUGGUAGUGGGGGAUAACGUCCGGAAACGGGCGCUAAUACCGCAUACGUCCUGAGGGAGAAAGUGGGGGAUCUUCGGACCUCACGCUAUCAGAUGAGCCUAGGUCGGAUUAGCUAGUUGGUGGGGUAAAGGCCUACCAAGGCGACGAUCCGUAACUGGUCUGAGAGGAUGAUCAGUCACACUGGAACUGAGACACGGUCCAGACUCCUACGGGAGGCAGCAGUGGGGAAUAUUGGACAAUGGGCGAAAGCCUGAUCCAGCCAUGCCGCGUGUGUGAAGAAGGUCUUCGGAUUGUAAAGCACUUUAAGUUGGGAGGAAGAGCAGUAAGUUAAUACCUUGCUGUUUUGACGGUACCAACAGAAUAAGCACCGGCUAACUUCGUG